GGGGGGAGUCCGGGGGGCUGGAUGUGUCGGACCCUCCGCCGCCGCCGCCCACAGAGGCCGGGAGCAGGAGACAAAAUGGCGGCGCCGACUCCGAGCCUGGCCGCGGGGACGUGGGUUCGGGAAGCGGACCUGUGGCCUGCUCCCUAGGCCGCGGGUUCUUUGGGGGGUGGAGUAUUGAGCAGGAAGCAAGGCGACCCCGGGACUCUUCUUAGUCCCUUCUUCCCAGGAUGCCUCUACCUACCUACUUACCUCAGUCGAAAUUUCAAGUUUGUAAACGAUGAGGUUGACUUUUUCUGAUAGAGGACAGAGAUGGAGGGGGAGAGGGAAAGAGGCCACACAGCACCAAAACUUCCCCUUGUGUGGUAGGAGCCAUGUGCACAUGGCUUGCAGGUAAGCUGUCUUGCUGGCCCAAAUGUAUUUUAUUUUUAUGUGAUGCCAGAGACUGAAACCAGGAUCUCAUGCAUGUGCUCUACUGCUGAGUUAUCUUGCCAAAUAGAGAGAAGCAGCAGCAUUUUAUUAUUCAUGAAGUUCCAUUUGUUCUCUUGUACCAGGGGGCCUGACCCAGAGCCUCAUGCAUGUAAAGCUGACCACCACGGAGCCACCUCUGUUGACCUGAAGAAUGAGUGUUAAACAGUGAUGACGGACUGGGCAGUGGUGCACCUGGUUGAGUGCACACAAGUUAUCGUGUGCAAGGACCUGGAUUCAAGCCCCUGAUCCCCACCUGCAGUGGGGAGGCUUCUCCAGCAGUGAAGCAGUGUUGUGGGUGUCUCUUUCCCUCCCUAGCUCCCCCUUCCCUCUCAAUUUCUGUCUCUAUCCAAUACAUGAUAAAUAAGAUAGGGCCUGGGCGGUGGUGCACACUACAGUGCGCGAGGGCCAGGGUUCAAGCCCCUGGUCCUCACCUGCAUGGGGAAAGCUUCACAAGUGGUGAAAAAGAGCCACAGGUGUCUCUCUCUCCUUUCAUCCUUUCUCAAUUUCUCGUCUCCGAUAAAAAAUGACAAGAUAGGGAGGGGGUAGAUAGCAUAAUGGUCAGACAAAGAGAAUCUCAUGCCUGAGGCUCCAAGGUCCCAGGUUCAAUCCCUACCCAC
This is a long non-coding RNA of Erinaceus europaeus (western European hedgehog), 1085 nucleotides long. RefSeq lists it as uncharacterized. The transcript has 3 exons. The record is from RefSeq and is a predicted model, not a curated record. Lineage: Eukaryota; Metazoa; Chordata; Mammalia; Eulipotyphla; Erinaceidae.